Molecule: ribosomal RNA, 636 nt
Filed under: uncultured bacterium
Lineage: Bacteria
Description: bacterial SSU rRNA
Rfam family: Bacterial small subunit ribosomal RNA (bases 1-538)
Source: RNAcentral
CCUACGGGAGGCAGCAGUGGGGAAUUUUGGACAAUGGGCGCAAGCCUGAUCCAGCAAUGCCGCGUGAGUGAAGAAGGCCUUCGGGUUGUAAAGCUCUUUUGUCAGGGAAGAAACGGUGGGAGCUAAUAUCUCCUGCUAAUGACGGUACCUGAAGAAUAAGCACCGGCUAACUACGUGCCAGCAGCCGCGGUAAUACGUAGGGUGCAAGCGUUAAUCGGAAUUACUGGGCGUAAAGCGUGCGCAGGCGGUUUUGUAAGACUGUCGUGAAAUCCCCGGGCUCAACCUGGGAAUGGCGAUGGUGACUGCAAGGCUAGAGUUUGGCAGAGGGGGGUAGAAUUCCACGUGUAGCAGUGAAAUGCGUAGAUAUGUGGAGGAACACCGAUGGCGAAGGCAGCCCCCUGGGUCAAAACUGACGCUCAUGCACGAAAGCGUGGGGAGCAAACGAGGUAUUAGACUACCCGUGGUAGUCCACGCCCUAAACGAUGUCUACUAGUUGUCGGUACUUAUGAUGUACGCNGCGACGCGNGAGUAGACCGCCGUCGGGAGGUAACGGUCGCGAGAAGUUAAACGUUAAACCGUUAAGUAAGUUAGUUAGGACGGNGAGAGAGCGACGACGACGACGACGGAGGGAGGAGG